This 492-nucleotide ribosomal RNA is filed under the name uncultured bacterium. RNAcentral describes it as "partial 16S ribosomal RNA". It matches the Rfam family "Bacterial small subunit ribosomal RNA", at positions 29 to 507 of the family's 1533-position model. The record is from RNAcentral.
AGUGAACGCUGGCGGUAGGCCUAACACAUGCAAGUCGAACGGCAGCACAGUAAGAGCUUGCUCUUACGGGUGGCGAGUGGCGGACGGGUGAGGAAUACAUCGGAAUCUACUUUUUCGUGGGGGAUAACGUAGGGAAACUUACGCUAAUACCGCAUACGACCUACGGGUGAAAGCAGGGGAUCUUCGGACCUUGCGCGAUUGAAUGAGCCGAUGUCGGAUUAGCUAGUUGGCGGGGUAAAGGCCCACCAAGGCGACGAUCCGUAGCUGGUCUGAGAGGAUGAUCAGCCACACUGGAACUGAGACACGGUCCAGACUCCUACGGGAGGCAGCAGUGGGGAAUAUUGGACAAUGGGCGCAAGCCUGAUCCAGCCACACCGCGUGGGUGAAGAAGGCCUUCGGGUUGUAAAGCCCUUUUGUUGGGAAAGAAAAGCAGCAGGUUAAUACCCCGCUGUUCUGACGGUACCCAGAGAAUAAGCACCGGCUAACUUCGUG